AGACUCUAAAAUGCAGGGUGAAAAUGACAGCUUUGGUUUGUAAGAGUCCUAAAAAUUUUGACAUGUGAUUUUUCAAGUCAGGGGUUUUAACUCCAAUGUGGAAACUACAAAAAUAUUAAAAUUUGUUUUCAUUGGCAACCCCUUUGAAAUGGCAUCAGCACACCUACAGGUGUACUGGGGACAGUACUUGGCAAUUCAUGGCUUCAGUUGUGGGAGAUAAAUAUUUUGUCUGGGUUCAACCUGAAGUUUAAAGUUUUCCCAGGGCUUUGAUUGACUGGUCACUGCAGGUAACUUUAAUAAAUGCAAAAGGAUGUGAAAGCACAAUUUCUGGAGAAUGUGCACUGGGGAUAGAGAGAAAACCUUGAAAACAGUCAGCAGGCUCUGGAAAACUUAAAAAAUAUUAAAAUUACAAACAUAAUGUAAAAAUAGAUGUAGCUCUGUGACUGUUCAAGCAGGAUUCUAUGUCUGGAGGAAAUGUUUGACUUGCAUCAGCUGUAACACAGACAGACAAGCAGCAACUGGGGCCUUGAACAUUUGUGCUACUGCAAACCCCUUCCAUGAAAAACAUCAUUCCAGGAAGGAGCAACAUCAUCUGACAGAUAGCAAGAGUGGCCAGCAAUAGCUCCAGGAGCUCCUGCCAAGACCCCUACAGGAAGGAGCCCAGCCCCCAAUGCACGUGGGCUUUGGCUUUGGCCCUCUGGCACAGAAACCCCCCAGGGGCACAGGUCUCUGGGGCAGGAGAAGGGCACCAGCACUGCCAGGGCUUGGCUGGGGUGGCAGGUCUGCCUCGGUGGGGACUCUGCCACACCUGCUGAUUUCAGUGCUGCCAGGCCCCUGUACAGAUUCUGUGCAAGGCCCCGUGCCCUUCCUGCUGCGCCUGCGUCGGCAGCCCUGGGGGCUCCUUCUGCUGCCCUGAGCCUGCAGAGCAGGGCAGUGUUUGCUGAUGGUUUGAGGUGUUCCUAAAGAUCCUGUCUUAGACACUUUGGGCAAGGGAUUCCUUCCAACGUAGGCCACGCUGGGGGGAUGGGGCAGAACCAGGAAGGUGGCAGGGCGUGCAAGGGCCGUUAGUGACACGGUGCAGCCUGGUAACCGUGGAAUGGAACGGUGGAAUGGACAAGAGCUGGCGGUGACAAGACCACACCAGUGUGCCUGGUGCAUGCGACGGGACAGGACACGCCAGAGCGGUGCUGUGAGGAGCCCCCACACAGCCCACUCGUUAGUGCCUGACCCGGAGCUUUUCCAAGGCGUAAUUCCUACAGCUCACAUUGUGAGCAGACUGUGGGAAUUGGUGAGCCGGAGCUUCCCGAUAACAUCUCUUUAGAAGGUGCUCCCAAGGCCCGAUUUUGUCAUGGCGGGCAGAUUCUUCAGGCUAUUCAGGGUGUUCCGACGGAAUAGAAGCACAGACCGUGGAGCUGCCCCAGCAGAACACCCUGAAGAGCCGGAGCAGUUCCAGCAAGGGCAGGAUGAUGCAGCCAUGGACAAGAGACAAGAGCAGGAGCCUGCCCAUGGCCGCUUCCGCAAAACGCUGAAGAGGUUCCGCCAGUUCCUGCCAAGUCGGCAUAGAAAGA
Cyanistes caeruleus (blue tit) is the source of this 1568-nucleotide non-coding RNA. Lineage: Eukaryota; Metazoa; Chordata; Aves; Passeriformes; Paridae. The record is from RefSeq and is a predicted model, not a curated record.